UACUACAAAGAUAACCAUUGAAAAUUUUUUGAAAAAAUAUUUCUGUAUAAUUACAACAGUUACGGCUUUUGGCGGGAUAUAUUUAUGAUGGCAAAAUUGACAUUUCACUUAUCUGUUGUUAAAAAAUAGGGGUAAUUGCAUACAGCUUCCUGUAAACAUAACGAAUUACAAAUAUAUCCCUAUAAAGUUUAAUUCUUUCAUGUUAUCUUUAUAAAAGUCCAGUAAUAUUCAUAUUUGUCCAUCUACUUUGUUACCGUUAGAGAACUAUUUAUUUUUUAAUAGCAGAUAAGUAAAAUGUCAAUUUUGCCAUAGCAAAUAUGUCCUUCUAAAAGCUCAACUGCUAAAAUCGUACAGAAAUAUCCAACCAAAAUAUUUUUAAUAGUCAUCUUCUUCCUUAUCUUCUUCCUCUUUAAAACCAACCAAUCCACUAUUGUUGUAAUAUUUUUUCCUAAACCUUUUCUUUUGAACAAAAUAAAAAAAAAUUACAAAGAAAAUUGAAUGAGGAAGCAACAUGUGUUCAACAUGGGUGAAACAACACGCGUCAUGGAUGAAUGGGGACGGAGAAAUUCUAGUUACAGGUUUAAAACUAGCACAAAGAAAAGAGAGGAAGAGACAGAGGAAGAGAAAGAAGAAGAAGAGUUUCCAUUACUAGAAUUUUGAUUGAGAGAAAAAGGUAUAAUAUAAGAGGGAUAAAAAUAUCAAUCUACCUUAUUAACUAAUCAUGGCUAAGGGGGUGUUCGGAUCCU
RNAcentral lists this long non-coding RNA (746 nucleotides) under Ananas comosus (pineapple). RNAcentral describes it as "long non-coding RNA (ACOM_LNC032039)". The record is from RNAcentral. Lineage: Eukaryota; Viridiplantae; Streptophyta; Magnoliopsida; Poales; Bromeliaceae.